Molecule: RNA transcript, 2146 nt
Organism: Quercus robur (English oak)
Lineage: Eukaryota; Viridiplantae; Streptophyta; Magnoliopsida; Fagales; Fagaceae
Gene name: hypersensitive-induced response protein-like protein 1
Exons: 4
Source: RefSeq, a predicted model, not a curated record
UCGCAGUUAUGGUCUCUCGCCUAUAAAUAAAUGUAUCUAUGCUUCUGAAUCCGGUUUUCUAAAACCAGCCAGAGCAAAUAUGGACUCUUUACUCAUUUGCUUCCUCUUGCUUUCUCUCUCUUUUAAUUCAUCAACGCCUCUUUGCCAUUCACACCAAUCCUCUGUUAAGUAUCAAAAAAUGAAAUACUUUACUUAUCGGAGUGCUCUAAUGUAAACUUCUAUACUUUAACAUCACAGGCUGGUGGCCCUUUCUAUCUCUUUAAAAGGACGGAGGGAGAGCAUUCAUUCAUAUUUCAGAGCACUGGCUGACAUUCCACAACCAGAUUAUAAAAACUUAUGUUCUGAUUUUUGGGAGUAUCAGUUCAUUAUUCCAAUUUAAUCCUGCCAUUUAGUUUUAAGUAUUAAUUUGCUGGCCUCAAUGUUUUGUGGGAUUUUCUUGAUCUGGACAACAGCAAUGGUAAUAAAAAACUAUUUCAGACCUUAAAGGAUUUUGAUAAAAUUGAUUUCAUCAAGGAGGAGCUUGAAAAGGCUUGUCCCCAGGUAGUUACAUGCGCUGAUAUUGUCCAGAGAUGGCUUCUUGAUCCUUAAUCUUCCUACUCUCUCUCUCUCUCUCUCUUUUAAGAUAUUUUUGUUAAUAUCAGGAGUCCUUUCACCUAAGGGUUUUUGCAAUAGUUUCAAGCUUAGGAUUUGAUGAUUGGUUGUGGAUAAUGAUUCUUGAAUGAAACUUGGGUAAAAUGUAAGAAACAGACUUUAAAAGUGUCAGUACCUCUUUACAAUUUUAUAUGUCGACAGGAGUCUAUCAAUAAGAUUCUAAAGUACAUAUUUUUGGGGAAAUCUAGAAAGUUAAGGAAUUGAGAUACGUUCCAUUUUUGCUGUUUUCGUUUCCUCAAAUUGUUAGUCACCUUUAAUUAGCGAACUAUUUGUUUCAGGCACUUUUUGAUUAUGGUUUUUUUCAGGUCUAAAUUAUCAAAAAAAUUCAACAAAAAAAGAAAAAGAAAAGAAGAAUGAAAGAAAAGAGAAAUACUUUUCUUUUUCCAAAUAUUGUUAAACUGACAAUGAAGAACUGCUCCUGGGAAGUUUGAUGAUCUGCUUGAGCCCGGAUGCCAUUGUUUGCCUUGGGUUUUGGGACAACAGUUAGCUGGCCACCUUUCGUUGGAUGUUUGAUGUGAAACAAAGACAAAAGGAUAAUGUGUUUGUUAUUGUUGUUACUUCUAUUCAAUACCAGGCCUUGUCAGCCACACCAGAGCACAGAUCCAAUCCUAUGUCUUUGAUGUUAUUAGAGCAAGUGUUCCUAAGUUGGUGCUGGAUUCUGUUUAUGAACAAAAUAAUUAGAUCACGAAAGCUGUGGAAGAGGAACUCAAAAAGGAAUUUCUCUGUCUACUAAUCUGGUUUAGUAUUAGUCAAGUUACAAGGUAAAUCUGUUUCUUUUUAAUAUCUUUGAAUUUUACAUGCAUAGGCCAAGUCAGCUUAUGGAUUUGAGAUUGUUCAAAUGGUUAUUGUGGCCACUAAACCUGAUGAACAUGUGAAGAGGACUAUGAGUGAGAUAAAUGCCACUGCAAGAAUGAAGGUGGUGGCUAACGAGAAGGCUGAAGCAGAAAAAAUCCUGCUAAUAAAACAUGCCAAGGGAGACUGAGCAUGGUAAGCAUGCCAGCAUCAGACCAUUGAAGUUGGGCUGCGGGACAGUGUGCUUGCUUUCUCUGUGAAUGUACCUGGGACUUCAUCAAAGGAUGCCCUGGACAUGGUUCUGGUGACUCAAUAUUUAGACACGGACCAGGUGCUGUGAAAGACAUUGCUUCACAGAUUAGAGAUGGCCUCCUUCAAGCAAAUACCACCCAGAAUUAGUGACUUUGUCCCAACAUAUAUGUUGCACGAGUGGCUUUUCUAAUGGUGUAUGAAAUAUUUGGUGCUAGUAUCUAAGAGUUGUGUCUUUUAUUCUUCUUAUUCUACUUUCGAAAUUAUUUACUUGAGUGAAGAUAGGAGCUAGGGAUUGUCUUGCAAGUUGCAACUAAGUGGUGUGGUGUGUAUACGUGGUGUUGAACUUGGCCAUAGUAUUGGCAAUAUUCUUUUAUAGGGUGAGAUGGUACUGAUUUGGGUAAUUUUGUGGAAUCCUCUGGUGUUAUAUGCUAUUUUGCAACUGUUGUCUUCA